CCCAAAAGCAUGUUCUCACGCCUUGCUCCAGAACGCAGCUCUUCUCAAAGAAGAGCCACUGUUGAAUCAAUUCUGCAAUAACCUGGAACCAGGAGAAAUUUAAUACUCACAUUCAACACCCUUUUCGCAUAAAUUAAUCUGGAUAAAACAAAUAGCAAGGAAAGCUCCAAGGGGAAAAUCUGAAAGGAAUUCUUGACAAGAAGACCACCUACACCUUUGGGGGUGGGUGCAAAGCUGAAAAGGGGAGCCCGGUCAGCCACCCCUGCUUCCUGACUGCGUCACAUGAUCACCUCAGCCCUACUUCGGCACCAAGCGAUGAAUGCCAGUUCCUGCUCUCUAACACACUUGUUUCCAUGCCACCUUCCAGAAAAGGCAGCAGAUUCCUAAAGGUUAACAGCCAUUGUCAGGUGUGGCUCUCUAGCUAAGAAGUUAGAACGUUUUAUGAACACAUCAGAACUCUUAUUGAAAAGAGUAUUUUCCUUCAGGAUCAUUUUGAAGAGCAACAAGCCUAUUGAAAUACUACUGCGUUUCACACAGUAUCAGUGGAAACCUUCCCUUGAAAUUAAUAAACCUUUUCCAAAAACUCAGA
Long non-coding RNA from Hyaena hyaena (striped hyena), 589 nucleotides. RefSeq lists it as uncharacterized. The transcript is spliced from 2 exons. NCBI's taxonomy places the organism in Eukaryota, Metazoa, Chordata, Mammalia, Carnivora, Hyaenidae. The record is from RefSeq and is a predicted model, not a curated record.